UUUUAGUAAUGGCACAGACUGAGGCUGCAGCAGCAGACAGAGAACGAUGAGAGAGGUAGAAAUUAAAAGAGAGCAGCAGUGCAUUGUCAGGGAGAGUACGGCAGGAUUCCAACGCAGACUGUCACAAAAACAUAUUUGGAGAGCCAGCUGUGAGGGUUAAAGAGAGGAAAAAUGGACCAAACUUGCUACAGGGACUGCGGCGAGUGAAAAAGGCAUUUCACCAGUGGGAAGAGGAUAAACUAAGCCUUCUGUAAUCAAAUGAGCUGUCCUUCUGUCUGUGUCAGCAGGAUGAAAAGGCAUCAUUUCAGCGCCUAGGACCUAAAGAAAUGCUGAACAAAUCCUGAUGGUUGUUAGAGAAGCGAGGCACUAAAAAAAAAGAACAUUUGCAAGCUUCUGGAAGGAAAAGGGAGGAGAGAGCGGUAUGACUCAGAGCACAGCAGCUCAAAUGCCGCGUAUUCUGCAUGCAAGAGGAGAGGUGGAGGGAGAUAGAGGAACAAUGAGGAAGAUAUAAAGCGGGGGGGAAAAAAUCAGAGAGGACUUGACCAGAAUUGAGCUGUCAUUAGACAGAAGAAGGACAGGAUGAGGACAGAAGUAACCACGCAGGCAGGCAGUGAGUGAUAUAUAGACCACGUGAAUCAGGUUGCUAGAGGGAGAGGAAGGCAAGAAGAGGGUGAAUAUAGAAAGUGAAAGGUUUAAUUUGACUGAAGCCAGUUGAGGGAAGGUUGAGUGGAGGUUUGCUGCAGGGUUAGUGGAUGGAGAACUGCAAAGAAGGACAGUAGGAGGGGAUUAAAGAAAGAUUGUUUGAGCUCCUUGCGGGCAAGAAAGUCCUGCGUGGCUGUCUUUUACCUCCAGGAGAGAACCUGGCAGAGGUUUGCAUAUGGAGCAAGUUUCAAGAGGGUUAAAUAGAGGAAGGCAAUGAUGGAGGGUACAAAGGUAGAGCAAUAUUGGAAAUACAAUAAAGAACAGAAGGACAGAAAGACGGAGCUGAAGAGAAAACACUGCAGACCAGAGAACAUGAGAUCCAGCGCACAGUGAUGGGGACAUGGAAACUUUAACUGUGACAGCAGCACAGCAAGAGGUUGCUGUUAAAUAUUGAUGCCGACAGGCCACUCUGGCAAGAACAUGCUACUUGCUCCACAGAGGGGAAAACAGAAGAGAUGCAACUGAUUUUUUUCUCUCUGAGGAGUUUUUACACCAGAAUAGUCAAGCUGAGCGAUAUGAAGCAGAGAUGUUGGCACAAAAUAACAUAAGACAUGCAAAAUAGCCAAGAGUUGGCUUCCUGGAGGUUUUUUGGGCAGCUGUCCAACUUCUUUGGAUUGACUGCAAUGACUUUCUAGAGAAAGGAGGACCUUUAGGAAGAGGACCAAUAUUUGAGCGAUCUCAUGAGGACCAGAACAUUUUCUUCUUUUCUACAAGAAGAACACUGAUUUACAUUUUGGAUUGAAAUGCUUCACCUGCUUCUACAGCGCCAGUCCUGCCAGAUGAGUUAAGCCAACACUGCUACGCUGUUUCCUGCAAGGAUUAGAUCUGAGUAUUUGACCAAUAGAAGACUGCUUGAGGAAAUAUGUGAGGAAAUUCUUGGACUGAAUAAAGUCCCACUGCCUCUUGAUCUCUAAACAUUCAGUAACUGCCAUUUCUCCAACCUGAAUUUCUGAUUCCUCAAAACAUCAAAAAACAGCAACACAAUGCCACAAUCUCCAUCCAGCUGCAAAUAGUCCAGCUGUGUGUUUAUGUGAGGCUGCGCAGGGGGUAUGUAAAGACUGUGGAUGUGCUCAGCUGUGUUUGUGGGUAUGCUUGUGUGGGUGUGGGUGUAGUGGUGUGUGUGUGUGUGUGUUUGCGCUGAGCUUCAAACCCAGCUGUGUCGAAGUGUAUUCUCAAAGAGUUACCCAGAACUGCUUGUGUGUGUGUCGCCUGGAUUCUCCGCACCAGCGACAGCGCUGGACCUGAACAGCAGUGGAAAGAGGGGGGACAGGGAGGGGGAGGAGGAGGAGAAGAAGAAGGAGGCGAGAGAAACCAGCAGGACGGUGGAGAAGAAAAAACUGACAGCAUGCUCGGAUAAAGAGAAGAAAGAAAGGAGUCUUCGACUGCCCUCCUGGUGCAAU
Molecule: long non-coding RNA, 2102 nt
Organism: Pelmatolapia mariae (spotted tilapia)
Lineage: Eukaryota; Metazoa; Chordata; Actinopteri; Cichliformes; Cichlidae
Exons: 3
Source: RefSeq, a predicted model, not a curated record